Molecule: ribosomal RNA, 332 nt
Filed under: Staphylococcus aureus
Lineage: Bacteria; Bacillati; Bacillota; Bacilli; Caryophanales; Staphylococcaceae
Description: partial 23S ribosomal RNA
Rfam family: Bacterial large subunit ribosomal RNA
Source: RNAcentral
UUUGAAACGUGAGCGCUAGCUUACGUGGAGGCGCUGGUGGGAUACUACCCUAGCUGUGUUGGCUUUCUAACCCGCACCACUUAUCGUGGUGGGAGACAGUGUCAGGCGGGCAGUUUGACUGGGGCGGUCGCCUCCUAAAAGGUAACGGAGGCGCUCAAAGGUUCCCUCAGAAUGGUUGGAAAUCAUUCAUAGAGUGUAAAGGCAUAAGGGAGCUUGACUGCGAGACCUACAAGUCGAGCAGGGUCGAAAGACGGACUUAGUGAUCCGGUGGUUCCGCAUGGAAGGGCCAUCGCUCAACGGAUAAAAGCUACCCCGGGGAUAACAGGCUUAUC